CAUAGGUUAAUGAGGCGAACCGGGGGAACUGAAACAUCUAAGUACCCCGAGGAAAAGAAAUCAACCGAGAUUCCCCCAGUAGCGGCGAGCGAACGGGGAGCAGCCCAGAGCCUGAAUCAGUGUGUGUGUUAGUGGAAGCGUCUGGAAAGGCGCGCGAUACAGGGUGACAGCCCCGUACACAAAAAUGCACAUGCUGUGAGCUCGAUGAGUAGGGCGGGACACGUGGUAUCCUGUCUGAAUAUGGGGGGACCAUCCUCCAAGGCUAAAUACUCCUGACUGACCGAUAGUGAACCAGUACCGUGAGGGAAAGGCGAAAAGAACCCCGGCGAGGGGAGUGAAAAAGAACCUGAAACCGUGUACGUACAAGCAGUGGGAGCACGCUUAGGCGUGUGACUGCGUACCUUUUGUAUAAUGGGUCAGCGACUUAUAUUCUGUAGCAAGGUUAACCGAAUAGGGGAGCCGAAGGGAAACCGAGUCUUAACUGGGCGUUAAGUUGCAGGGUAUAGACCCGAAACCCGGUGAUCUAGCCAUGGGCAGGUUGAAGGUUGGGUAACACUAACUGGAGGACCGAACCGACUAAUGUUGAAAAAUUAGCGGAUGACUUGUGGCUGGGGGUGAAAGGCCAAUCAAACCGGGAGAUAGCUGGUUCUCCCCGAAAGCUAUUUAGGUAGCGCCUCGUGAAUUCAUCUCCGGGGGUAGAGCACUGUUUCGGCAAGGGGGUCAUCCCGACUUACCAACCCGAUGCAAACUGCGAAUACCGGAGAAUGUUAUCACGGGAGACACACGGCGGGUGCUAACGUCCGUCGUGAAGAGGGAAACAACCCAGACCGCCAGCUAAGGUCCCAAAGUCAUGGUUAAGUGGGAAACGAUGUGGGAAGGCCCAGACAGCCAGGAUGUUGGCUUAGAAGCAGCCAUCAUUUAAAGAAAGCGUAAUAGCUCACUGGUCGAGUCGGCCUGCGCGGAAGAUGUAACGGGGCUAAACCAUGCACCGAAGCUGCGGCAGCGACACUGUGUGUUGUUGGGUAGGGGAGCGUUCUGUAAGCCUGCGAAGGUGUGCUGUGAGGCAUGCUGGAGGUAUCAGAAGUGCGAAUGCUGACAUAAGUAACGAUAAAGCGGGUGAAAAGCCCGCUCGCCGGAAGACCAAGGGUUCCUGUCCAACGUUAAUCGGGGCAGGGUGAGUCGACCCCUAAGGCGAGGCCGAAAGGCGUAGUCGAUGGGAAACAGGUUAAUAUUCCUGUACUUGGUGUUACUGCGAAGGGGGGACGGAGAAGGCUAUGUUGGCCGGGCGACGGUUGUCCCGGUUUAAGCGUGUAGGCUGGUUUUCCAGGCAAAUCCGGAAAAUCAAGGCUGAGGCGUGAUGACGAGGCACUACGGUGCUGAAGCAACAAAUGCCCUGCUUCCAGGAAAAGCCUCUAAGCAUCAGGUAACAUCAAAUCGUACCCCAAACCGACACAGGUGGUCAGGUAGAGAAUACCAAGGCGCUUGAGAGAACUCGGGUGAAGGAACUAGGCAAAAUGGUGCCGUAACUUCGGGAGAAGGCACGCUGAUAUGUAGGUGAAGUCCCUCGCGGAUGGAGCUGAAAUCAGUCGAAGAUACCAGCUGGCUGCAACUGUUUAUUAAAAACACAGCACUGUGCAAACACGAAAGUGGACGUAUACGGUGUGACGCCUGCCCGGUGCCGGAAGGUUAAUUGAUGGGGUCAGCGCAAGCGAAGCUCUUGAUCGAAGCCCCGGUAAACGGCGGCCGUAACUAUAACGGUCCUAAGGUAGCGAAAUUCCUUGUCGGGUAAGUUCCGACCUGCACGAAUGGCGUAAUGAUGGCCAGGCUGUCUCCACCCGAGACUCAGUGAAAUUGAACUCGCUGUGAAGAUGCAGUGUACCCGCGGCAAGACGGAAAGACCCCGUGAACCUUUACUAUAGCUUGACACUGAACAUUGAGCCUUGAUGUGUAGGAUAGGUGGGAGGCUUUGAAGUGUGGACGCCAGUCUGCAUGGAGCCGACCUUGAAAUACCACCCUUUAAUGUUUGAUGUUCUAACGUUGACCCGUGAUCCGGGUUGCGGACAGUGUCUGGUGGGUAGUUUGACUGGGGCGGUCUCCUCCUAAAGAGUAACGGAGGAGCACGAAGGUUGGCUAAUCCUGGUCGGACAUCAGGAGGUUAGUGCAAUGGCAUAAGCCAGCUUGACUGCGAGCGUGACGGCGCGAGCAGGUGCGAAAGCAGGUCAUAGUGAUCCGGUGGUUCUGAAUGGAAGGGCCAUCGCUCAACGGAUAAAAGGUACUCCGGGGAUAACAGGCUGAUACCGCCCAAGAGUUCAUAUCGACGGCGGUGUUUGGCACCUCGAUGUCGGCUCAUCACAUCCUGGGGCUGAAGUAGGUCCCAAGGGUAUGGCUGUUCGCCAUUUAAAGUGGUACGCGAGCUGGGUUUAGAACGUCGUGAGACAGUUCGGUCCCUAUCUGCCGUGGGCGCUGGAGAACUGAGGGGGGCUGCUCCUAGUACGAGAGGACCGGAGUGGACGCAUCACUGGUGUUCGGGUUGUCAUGCCAAUGGCACUGCCCGGUAGCUAAAUGCGGAAGAGAUAAGUGCUGAAAGCAUCUAAGCACGAAACUUGCCCCGAGAUGAGUUCUCCCUGACUCCUUGAGAGUCCUGAAGGAACGUUGAAGACGACGACGUUGAUAGGCCGGGUGUGUAAGCGCAGCGAUGCGUUGAGCUAACCGGUACUAAUGAACCGUGAGGCUUAACCUUACAACGCCGAAGGUGUUU
RNAcentral lists this ribosomal RNA (2758 nucleotides) under Escherichia coli. RNAcentral's name for it is "bacterial LSU rRNA". It matches the Rfam family "Bacterial large subunit ribosomal RNA". Lineage: Bacteria; Pseudomonadati; Pseudomonadota; Gammaproteobacteria; Enterobacterales; Enterobacteriaceae. The record is from RNAcentral.